UUUUUUUUUUUUUUUUUUUGGGUAAGGGUAUGGUGGAAAAAGCACUAGAAAAGUCCGUGGAAAUUUUUAGAUUCAUCAAAAUUAUUACCAAGAGUGAUGUGCCGUGUAGCGUGAUUAUUCAGGUACAACUGUUCAAAUUAACCCAAAAAAAAAGCUACACCUGUUCAAAGGAUUUUUUUUUUUUUUUUUUGGAAAGUCAAAUUAAAGGGCAUCAUUGGUAGUGGUGCAUUAUGUGGAGAUAAUUAUUAUACGGCAUAGCAUAAUGAACUUCCUAAUAUUUUUUGGGGUGUUUCAUUUGUUAGUUUUUGAAAAGUGAAUUUAAAUGUGAAAACACACUUAUUUUUAAAUGAAGAGAUGUUUUUUUAGUGCAUUUUUUUCAAGCAUCACAUGAGAAACAGCAACACGUGUAAAAUAAAAGUCUUCUGAUACCGUGUGGCGCCUGAUGGUAACUAUGGAAGCUUCUUAAAUAGUCAAAUGGAGAUGGGGUUUGACUUGGCUGCCUCGUCUCGACGAGCCUCGCAAUUUCUUCUCAUCAGACGUUCCUCAAAAGGAGUAGGCACCAUCCAAGAUUUGCGUGUAAACUUGUGUCGGCCAUCCCAUGGUAAAGGCAAAAGCAUAAAUACAAUAGGCAAUUUAGACCCAACAAAAAAAGGGGCCAUCUUUCUUAUACUGACAGUGUAUACACUAUCAGUAUUGAAUGAAUGACAAUUAUAUAGAAUUUAAAUUUGAAAUUUAACUUUUAUACACCUAUCAUGAAUCUAACGGUGAUAAUGUAUAUAUUGUCAAUGUUUAUAAAAUUUACUCGAAAAAAAAAACCUUUCUAUACCAUGCAUGUGAUUUUGUGUAGUUCGAGUGACAAUGAAAUUCUCGAAAAAGUGAAAGCUAUCAAAUACUUUAUAUACCUAAAAUCCAUUUAUUGAAUUGUUUAAAUACUAGAGUUUGGUUAACGACUGGGCAUUCGAUGUUUUGAGUAUUUAUUUUUUAGAAUAUGGAAUUAAUUUGAGAAAAUAUUUGAAUGUGAAGGUGCAUCACAUUAAUGCAUUAGGUGUAUUUUAAGUAAGUUAAUUCGACAUGAGAUAUAACACAAGAUUACCAUUUUAGAAGGUUUAGGAUCAACAAAGAAAAUGAUAAAAUCUGUGUGAUCAAGUCCGCCUUGAUCUAACAGAAGAAUAAGUUUAUAGUUGGCUUAGUAACUAAGGCUCAGUUUGACAAAUAAGUUUUUUGGAUGUUUGUCUAAAACUUUACAGUAAUUUACUGUAAAAGUUGUAGGUAAAAAUUUUGAAGUGUGUAAAUUUUUGGAUAUUUUGAAGCGUAUAGUUUAAAAUUUUUGAGAAGUUUUUUUGAAAUUACCGUAGUUAAAGUUGUUAAAAAACUUGUAGCAGAUAAAUUUGGAAUAAAAACUUGUUUGCCAAACAGCCCCUAAGUGAUGGUAACAAAAGCGCAAAAUGGUUGGGAGUACAAAGUGGAGUUGAGGAAGUUUCGAUCCUACUUCUGAACUGCAAUAUAAAUCUGAUUGGUUGUAAAAGUAAAUGCUCUGGAAAUAAUUAUGAAUUGGUAAUUCCUAAAAGUUACAAGAACUUGACAUCAGCUUGAUCCUGAAAUAUCUUUCCUCAGAAGAAAAAAAAAGUCUUAAACUAUCUUGAUUAAGCACAAAAUUUUCUAUUUUUUUGGUUACUUUGCCAAGUCUUGGAGCUUAGUCAAUGCUAAUAAUUUUCAUCAACAUGUGGUGUGUACGCGAUUUAUUCGUUCGCCAUAAUCCUUCCUCUUCCCUGAAGUUCCUCUCCAAACUUGCACAGAAUUUAUGACUACACGCAUCCAUGUUUGACCUUUAAAAUCUUGUAUAAAGAGCCAAAAACGACUCUUGAAUAGUUCUCCAACCAAAAACCAUUCUUCAAAUUAAUACAAAAGGCAUGUGAAUCCUCCCUAAUCCUUUAUAUCAUAAAAAAAAAGCGCCCUCCCAUCAGAUAAAGACUGUUUACCCUCUCAAUCUUUUAAGGUCAAAAUAAGGAAACUUCAGCCUUCAUCAAACUGUCUGACAUAGGACUUUCGUCAUUAUUUUAUGUACCAGUAUUCCAUGCUCACUUUCCUUACAAAAAAAGAAAAGGGAAAACCACGUCCUUUUUCACCAAGAGCUCCUACUCCUGUAUAAAAAUCAACCCUUUUGGUCCCAUGAAAGAAAACUAAAUCACAAAAACUGAAGGAAAAACAGCAGAACCUCUGUUCUAUUACACGCUACCCAAUUCUGGCUCUACCUUCUAAAACUUCCGACUCUUUCAUCAAUGGCUGAUCAUCAGAGGAUUCAUCCGGCCCGGGACCCUGAAGCCGGGGCACCCCAGAGAACAACAGUGCCACUAGUUUCCGGGGGGGCUUCCCAGUCAGAGAAAGGUGAUCCAGAAGGCAACUACCAUCCACCACAUCAAAGAACUAUCCCUUAUUCAUACUCAAAACCACCAAAGAGAAACUGCUGCAAGAAGUGUUUGUGUUGGACUCUGGCCCUCAUCAUACUUCUGAUACUCGUCAUAGCCAUCUGUGCUGGGAUCAUGUACCUUGUUUUCCGACCAAAACUCCCAAAAUACUCAGUUGACAGCCUGACCAUAACGCAUCUCAAUCUCAACAACGACAACAGCUUAUUUGCUACUUUUAACGUGAACGUCACAGCUAGAAAUCCCAACAAAAAAAUCGGUAUCUACUACGAGGGCGGCAGCGAUUUGAGAGUCUAUUUUACGGGGACUCAACUUUGUGAAGGUUCAUUGCCAAAGUUUUAUCAAGGUCACAGGAACACCACUGUAAUGAACGUGACUUUGACUGGACAAACGCAGGAUGCAAAUGGGCUGCUGCAGUCUUUGCAGGCCCAGGAGCAGACUGGAAAUAUUCCAUUGUUUCUCAGGGGAAAAGUUCCGGUGAGGCUGAAGCUUGGGGGAUUGAAGUUGAUGAAGUGGAAAUUCUUGGUAAGGUGUUGGUUGAACGUGGAUAGCUUGACACCUGACAACACGAUUAGAAUUAGAGAUAGUCGUUGUAAGUUUAGGUUUAGGUUCUAGUUAUUUGCUUCAUAUGGAGUCUGUAUUCCCGCGGGCGGCGAUUGUCAUUUCUUUCUGAUUUUUUCAUUUUUUUGGGUGUUUAGUUCAUUAUUGUCAAUAAAAGAAGAGGAGGAUGUUUUUCCCUCCCAUACUACUAUAGACGAUGAAUAAUUCUGUGACUCAUCUGUAUCUUCUUAUACAUAUUUCUUUUGAGAUUUUCAUUGUGCUUACUUCCUGUGUAGCACAUGCACAUGCACCUUGGUUUAGACGGUUACUUGAUGAGGGCUUGAAAAUUCUUAUCCUUCUUUGCGCUCAUUCUUCCCUGUUAAAACAGUAGUGGCUGGCUGAAGUGUGGUUUGAAGAUCAAGCAAUUGUAACUUAGGAACACACUCGAUUAUAAUAAGCUGAAAAAUAAAAGAACAAAAUUCGGGAAACUCCCUAAUGUUGGAGUCUUUUUAAUAAAUUACCAGGGCAGAUUAUUUAGAGGACAUUUUAUGAUAGUGCCUUAUGGCGGAUUAGUUUCCUUCUCCAUACAUGUCUGAAACCAUUCAAGUCCAAAUUUGCCCCAGAAGAAACUAUUCCAGGGCAACACCUGAAUUCUUGAUUCUGCAGACCUGAAACAGAGCUACUCUAGACGCCAACCGCAUUCUAUUCUAGUUACCUGGGUAAUGUAAAAGAAAGUAGCGCGUUACUUGGAGCUUAACCAAUCUUGCCGUAUCUCCAAAAGGCAGAAAUAUGAUGGGGAAAAAAAAAACCUUAUAGUUGAAGCUGCCGAGUAUCUCAUCGCACUAGAUAAUUCAAGAAUGAACACUACCCAAGUAACAAUAUCAAUUCAGGCAACAAGUUUGGCCUUGCAUAUUACACACAAGUAAGACAUAGUAAUCUUGGUCCUUUGAAAGCUAAGAAUUCUUAGUUUGCACGCUUAUACAUGUUUCUCCUAGGUUAAUGAAUUACUGGCUUCAAGGGAUGAGCUCUCAGUUUGGAUAAAUCCAAGUUUGCAUCUAACUCUUC
RNAcentral lists this long non-coding RNA (4028 nucleotides) under Coffea arabica (coffee). RNAcentral's name for it is "long non-coding RNA (CARA_LNC005233)". The record is from RNAcentral. Lineage: Eukaryota; Viridiplantae; Streptophyta; Magnoliopsida; Gentianales; Rubiaceae.